CGUGCAAGGUCGGAUUGUUGAUUUGAAAGGAGUUCUCUCAUCUUCUACUUCCUCUUUUAAAGAUUACUUGCUGGUUUCUUAGUGAAGAAACAAAAGAGAAGCUUUCCUAAAUCUAUCCCAUGGAUAUCUGUGGAGGUCGGAUGCUUGUGUAGCUCAAAAAAACUAUAAAGAGAUAUCCACGAUCAUCAGUUGCAGUGAAUAACUACCCGCACAAAAAUGAAGAUGAGAUCUUCAUAUUUUGCUUC
RNAcentral lists this long non-coding RNA (245 nucleotides) under Elaeis guineensis (African oil palm). RNAcentral's name for it is "long non-coding RNA (EGUI_LNC060820)". Lineage: Eukaryota; Viridiplantae; Streptophyta; Magnoliopsida; Arecales; Arecaceae. The record is from RNAcentral.